AGAUUGAACGCUGGCGGCAUGCCUAACACAUGCAAGUCGAACGGGAGUAGCAAUACUCUAGUGGCGGACGGGUGAGGAAUACGUAGGAAUUUGCCCUUAAGUGGGGGAUAACCCGGGGAAACCCGGAUUAAUACCGCAUGACCUCGAAAGAGCAAAGUGGGGGAUCGCAAGACCUCACGCUUUUGGAGAAGCCUACGUCGGAUUAGCUAGUUGGUGAGGUAAUGGCUCACCAAGGCGACGAUCCGUAACUGGUCUGAGAGGAUGAUCAGUCACACCGGAACUGAGACACGGUCCGGACUCCUACGGGAGGCAGCAGUGGGGAAUAUUGGACAAUGGGCGCAAGCCUGAUCCAGCAAUGCCGCGUGUGUGAAGAAAGGCCCUGGUU
RNAcentral lists this ribosomal RNA (385 nucleotides) under uncultured soil bacterium. RNAcentral describes it as "bacterial SSU rRNA". It matches the Rfam family "Bacterial small subunit ribosomal RNA", at positions 26 to 423 of the family's 1533-position model. The record is from RNAcentral.